GACGAACGCUGGCGGCGUGCUUAACACAUGCAAGUCGAACGGAAAGGCUCCAGCUUGCUGGAGUACUCGAGUGGCGAACGGGUGAGUAACACGUGGGUAAUCUGCCUUGCAUCUUGGGUUAGGCUGGGGAAAUUGGGCUAAAUACGGGUUUUGACUUUCCUCUUUUUGGGGUUGGGUGGAAAGUUUUUCGGUGUAGGAUGAGCCCGCGGCCUAUCAGCUUGUUGGUGGGGUGAUGGCCUACCAAGGCGACGACGGGUAGCCGGCCUGAGAGGGUGAUCGGCCACAUUGGGACUGAGAUACGGCCCAGACUCCUACGGGAGGCAGCAGUGGGGAAUAUUGCACAAUGGGCGGAAGCCUGAUGCAGCGACGCCGCGUGAGGGAUGACGGCCUUCGGGUUGUAAACCUCUUUCAGCAGGGACGAAGCGUAAGUGACGGUACCUGCAGAAGAAGCACCGGCUAACUAUGUG
RNAcentral lists this ribosomal RNA (467 nucleotides) under uncultured bacterium. Its description in RNAcentral is "partial 16S ribosomal RNA". It matches the Rfam family "Bacterial small subunit ribosomal RNA", at positions 28 to 507 of the family's 1533-position model. The record is from RNAcentral.